GUAAUAUUGCAACACAGGCUGCACCUGCUGGGGAGCCCAGUCCUGCUCCAGGAAGCCUUCCGGUGACUCAGUACAUGGGUUGCAGUUCUGCCUGAACUACCCAGAGAUGUCUACCAGAUGCCUUUGGAGGAGAGGUGAACCCCUAUGUGAACAGAUGAACCUGACACUUACUGCCAAAUGACCAAUCAGAGCGUGGACACGAUGCACACUUGAUAAGGAACAGACGUGGCUGAGUCUAAGGUGAAUCUUCAGAAACCAAUAUGAUGAGUGUUGUAAUGGAUGUUCUUAAUGCACUCUCGUGAAAUAAAGAAAUGUUUUCG
Molecule: long non-coding RNA, 320 nt
Filed under: Heterocephalus glaber (naked mole-rat)
Lineage: Eukaryota; Metazoa; Chordata; Mammalia; Rodentia; Bathyergidae
Description: lncRNA (ENSHGLG00100030623.2)
Source: RNAcentral